AAUAGAGACAGGGGAGGAAAAUCAACAAAAGUUUGCCUUCUGAGCUAAGCUAUGGUCUGCCCUGAGCUCAAGUGCUGAGGUUGAUUCAUAAAAUCAAUUAGGCUAGAUUGUAGAGAUGAACAUAAUCAUAUCAAGCACAGCAGCGACAUACACAGAAGGAGCAGACAAAAUGUGUUGACAAUGUAUUUGCACAUCCAAGGGACAAGGCUUAGAACCGUUUUUAUUUAAAUAUGGACUGAAAUGUGUGGGGUAAAGUAUGGAAAAAUAAUGAGGCAUCGGCUUUGUUGACAUUUGGCAAGACACGGGAAAAAGAGAGCCAUCUACAGCUUGUCAGUAAAGUUCAAAUAAAUCAGUACGAAUAGCCUAGUAGUUGUGGUGUUCACAGUGCAUACUUAUGAGUAUCUGGUUCUGCAGGUUAUACCAUAGAAAUGUGAAAUCUCUUUAGAAACCAAAUAACACAUGUUGAGACAAACAUGUUUAGGAACGAAACAUAAAUGCAACAACACAGUAGCAAUGGGUGGAUAAGAUUAAGUUACUGUCGUACUAGUAGCCAGUUCAGCGGAACAUCAUCCUGUACGGACAAAACGGCAUCCGUAGCUAGCAGACAAAGGGAUAGGUAAGCUAACGCUAUCGGAGCUAGAACACUACCUCGUUUAUAACUCAACUAUUCGGCUAAAUGCUCAGCACAGUGGCCAAUUUUAAAUGAUAGAAAACCUUGUUUUAUAAAGGACACGUAUUUUACUCUUUAAUAAGGGCUAAACAAACUGUUUGGACACAAAGUUGUCAUACUUGCCGCUAGCUAGCUCCUAGCCUACCUAGCAGUAACUCGCGUAUGAAGGAACACAUUCAUACAACGUAGAGUGAGUUCGAAUAGUUACUUUUUGGAACGUUGGACACUCCUUUGUUACAUUGAAACAAAACCGGUUACAUUGGUUUCAACUUUGUAAAAACUAUCAGUCGGCUACGUUAUUUCACCUUAAACUAAUCCCAGGCUUCCUGAAACACACAAGCAUCUUCACGAAUGCAUUGUUCCCAAUACCCAGAGAGGGAGGGCUACAAGACUUCACCGAUGCAAGAAAACAACCUGAAAAACAAAGACCCUAAACAACUACGGAGAGCAUAUCGUAUCCUAAUCUGCACCCUCUCUAUGACAACAAGCAAGCAGGCUACAUCCAUCCUCAACAUUGCCGAUCCGAACAGGGGCUGCUGCCGUCGCGGGGAGCUUGAAACCGUCUGUUGGUGAUCUUUUUUUUCAGUCGCUGUUCCAGGGUUUUAUCCACGCUCCCCCUGUUAUAGAAUGGUGGGGGCUUCUUAAAGGGAUAUAUACCUUUUUUGGUUUAUUUGCCAAACUAAAUGAUGAUAGACUGGUCAGUGUUCUUCAUUCCUGGGCUUGGAGACCCACAUGGAUGUGUGCAGGGUUUUGAUCAAGCACAGCACUAACAUGCCUAUUUUAACAGUACCCUACUGUGCCCACAUGUAGCUGUAUGCUCUGUAAGGUAUGUUCCGGCCAGGAAUGGUAUAUAACAGCUCUGUGUGUUCUGUUUAGAUAUAGUUCUAUGGCUGUGUUUACACAGUAAGCCAAAUUCUGAUAAUUUUGCCACUAAUUGGUCUUUUGACCUAUCACAUCAGAUCUUUUCACAUCAGAUCUUUUUCAGAGCUGAUCUGUUUGGUGAAAGGACCAAUUUAGUGAAGAAAAAAAGAUCAGAAUUGGGGUGCCUGUCUAACACAGCCUAUGUGUCUUGUGGGGGAAUUAUUAAUAAAAUGUGUACAUGUAUACCAA
This is a non-coding RNA of Salmo salar (Atlantic salmon), 1780 nucleotides long. The record is from RefSeq and is a predicted model, not a curated record. Lineage: Eukaryota; Metazoa; Chordata; Actinopteri; Salmoniformes; Salmonidae.